AAGCUACUCCGGGGAUAACAGGCUAGUUCCGCCCGAGCGUCCAUAGCGACGGCGGAGUUCGGCACCUCGAUGUCGGCUCAUCUCAUCCUGGGGGUGAAGAAGCUCCCAAGGGUUUGGCUGUUCGCCAAUUAAAGAGGUACGUGAGCUGGGUUCAAACCGUUGAGAACAUGAAAAAAUAGUUCGUGUUUUGAACGGUUUGAACCCGAGGAAAAGACAUUUUGCACGGCGGCCAUGUAAAGUAAUUUAUAUGGACCAUGCUGACUAAUAUCGGUGGAACCCCGCAGAGUGGGGCAAUACCGAGGGAAAAUUGUGUGCUUCAUUGAGGAAAUAGUUCUUCAAAAUUUUGUAGGGCAGUAGCUCUAAUAUGGUAAGGAGCGGUUGCGGUCGUACUCUACGAGCGACAAGCAUGGGUUCAAAUCCCAUCUGCCCUGCCAAAUCGAGGCGAUUUGAAAAAUAAUCGCCUCCUCAAUGAAGUACAUGAUUGCCCGUAGAGACUAUACGUCAGCCUCCUCCGACGCAAGGUCGGAGGGUGAAGAUAUAGUCCGACACUCUUAGUAAUAAGAGAUUACAGAUAGCGUGAGACAGGUUGGUCUCCUAUCUACUGCAUCCGUUGAUUAUUGAGGGGGCUUCUCUCUAGUACGAGAGGACCGAGAGGAGGCGACCUCUGGUCUACCAGCUGUCCUGCCAAGGGCAUCGCUGGGUAGCUAUGUCGCUGAGUGAUAAGCGCUGAAAGCAUCUAAGCGCGAAGCACGCCCCAAGAUUAGUAAUCGUUUAGACUCGUGGGAGAUUACCACGUUGAUAGGCUCUAGGUGUAAGUCCUGUAAAGGAUUUAGCCGAGGAGUACUAAUAAGUCGAAAUC
RNAcentral lists this ribosomal RNA (859 nucleotides) under Candidatus Giovannonibacteria bacterium RIFCSPHIGHO2_12_44_12. RNAcentral's name for it is "partial 23S ribosomal RNA". It matches the Rfam family "Bacterial large subunit ribosomal RNA", at positions 2460 to 2925 of the family's 2925-position model. Lineage: Bacteria; Candidatus Giovannoniibacteriota. The record is from RNAcentral.